This 460-nucleotide ribosomal RNA is filed under the name uncultured bacterium. Its description in RNAcentral is "partial 16S ribosomal RNA". It matches the Rfam family "Bacterial small subunit ribosomal RNA", at positions 338 to 795 of the family's 1533-position model. The record is from RNAcentral.
UCUACGGGAGGCAGCAGUGAGGAAUAUUGGUCAAUGGACGAGAGUCUGAACCAGCCAAGUAGCGUGAAGGAUGACUGCCCUAUGGGUUGUACACUUCUUUUAUAUGGGAAUAAAAUGUUCCACGUGUGGGAUUUUGUAUGUACCAUAUGAAUAAGGAUCGGCUAACUCCGUGCCAGCAGCCGCGGUAAUACGGAGGAUCCGAGCGUUAUCCGGAUUUCUUGGGUUUAAAGGGAGCGUAGGUGGAUUGUUAAGUCAGUUGUGAAAGUUUGCGGCUCAACCGUAAAAUUGCAGUUGAAACUGGCAGUCUGGAGUACAGUAGAGGUGGGCGGAAUUCGUGGUGUAGCGGUGAAAUGCUUAGAUAUCACGAAGAACUCCGAUUGCGAAGGCAGCUCACUGGACUGCAACUGACACUGAGGCUCGAAAGUGUGGGUAUCAAACAGGAUUAGAUACCCGGGUAGUC